CUUCUCUCUUUCUUCUUUUGCUAAGUAAAUAGUAAGAGCAUUCCUAAUUGGAAAAGAGAAGCUUCAAAGAAGAUAUUGUUUCUUAUUCAGUACAUUCUCCCACACUUGGGAUAUCAAUGCACUUUUUGGUAAAUCCCCCCUUUUUUAGGAAAAAGGGUGUUCCAGCUGCUAUUUGUGCAUCAUCUCCUGAGCAGCGAGGGGAAAUAGCUUAAAAUGAGAUCUCUGGAGUAACACAGGGAGAAAAACAAACUGAUAACUCCUGACAGAUUGAUGGCUCCUUCCUUCAUCUAAAUCUUUAUAGAUUAGCAUGUCUCUUCUUUCACAGAUAUGUUUGUUUGCACUAUAUCAUCUAACCUAAUCUGUACGGGAAGUAUAUUUAUCCUAGAGCAGUGGAGCAUUUGUACUGCUUCCUUGUCACCAAGAAUAAUGGAGAGGAAAGGCAAGGCCCACGUGUGGACAAAAGGAACCACCUCCAUGGAAGGGUCAGAGGAACAAAGGAAGGAGUGAAUGGAGGUCAGCUGGCACCAGGGUAUGCUCGGAUCCAUCGUGCCUUAGGAACGGCUCCCAGCCCACUUCUGACAUUUAUCUCACAGGUCCUGUUAAGAAAAAUCCCUGACUUCUGCUGUUGUUGCCUGCAUCGAGCUGGGAGGAUAACAGGGAAUGCUGCUUGUCAGCUGUCGUGCAAGAGCAGACCUGGUGUUCUGCGCAGGGUCUCAGAGCGGCACGGUGAUGAUGUCAGCAGCAAAGGGGUGCUUAUGGCUGAUACAGCUCCUGCCAAGCCCACGGAUGAGCUGAGGCACAGCACAGCCACAGAGCAUCCACAUGUAGGUGUCACACAGCAUCUUCUGAAAUAACAGAGGCGUUACAGCUCAGAACAGCACACCAUCAGAUGAUGAAUCCAGACCUCUUCUCGUCAUCCCUGCUUGGAGCUGCACCAAAUGGGUUUAUUGCAGGAGUCCAUGCCUGAUGUCUCCCAGCGGGGAUGCGGGGCAGCCUGAGCAGCCCAGCUCAGCCCAGGGAGCAGCCAUUAAACACGAUUCUAUUGACUAAAGAAACCAAGAAGUGGAUAUUGACAUCGUCAGAAACUGUGCAGGCAAAUAAUUUGCCUCAAGAUUGUAUUCUCACCAUACUGUUAUCUACAUUUUUUGAGAUGUUUUUAUUUUCUAUUCUCCGGCUUUUAUGAAUCAGAAAGUCUUGGCUCUGGCUUUUGUGAGGAGAUAUGGUUUACACCUGGACUGCUGGUGUUGGAAUUUUAAAUAUUAAAAGCUAACGUUCAGUCUAGAUCAGCCCUACACCAUCACUCCUACAGGGAGCUGCUGUGCUGAAUGUUUCUGUUUCUGAGCACAGUAUCAACCACCUCUGUCCUUGUCAAGCCCUAUGGAAAGGAACAUUUACCAGACUCUGUGAGAAUGGUC
Molecule: long non-coding RNA, 1415 nt
Filed under: Gallus gallus (chicken)
Lineage: Eukaryota; Metazoa; Chordata; Aves; Galliformes; Phasianidae
Description: lncRNA (ENSGALG00010017137.1)
Source: RNAcentral